Helianthus annuus (common sunflower) is the source of this 827-nucleotide long non-coding RNA. RefSeq lists it as uncharacterized. The transcript is spliced from 4 exons. The record is from RefSeq and is a predicted model, not a curated record. NCBI's taxonomy places the organism in Eukaryota, Viridiplantae, Streptophyta, Magnoliopsida, Asterales, Asteraceae.
CAAUAUUGACCAUUGGAUCUUGCUAAGAUUAAAUCUCAGCCUUUUAAACUCACAUUUUUAACUGCUGUAGUGGCAGUUCUCGUCAGUUUCUUAGGCUGGGAGGUUGCUCCGCCUUUUUCUGCCAUCUUCUCCACAAAUCACGUUUCCUGCCAUGGAUCGUGGGUUCAAUAAACUCCCAAUUAUAACCUCCUCCAUGAUAUACACUACGGUUAUGUCUCCAGAGUCGUAUUACCACUAUCUCCAAGCCCUACACCUUCAACUUUCCCUGAUCUCUUAUCAUCAGAAGAUCCAAUUAGGGUUUCUCCUCCCUCCUCGGGCUUUAAGACCAUGGAAACGGGAAGUUCCACCACCAGCACUGUCUAUAUCCAGUCGACACCGACGCCGCCUCCGUUCUACACCCUUUCGUCCCUUAACACACACUGGCGCCACAAAUUAAGGGGUGAUGAUGGCGUUUGGUGGUUCUUUGAAGACUCGAGUGGUGAUCUUUGGUGGCGGAAUCAGUAGCGGCUAGCCCACAACCAUCAUAGUGGGUAGACAACCAACCUAAAAAAUAUCAAAUUGAACAACAAAUCGGUAUCGGGAUCUGCCGUCAGGUCUUUCAGAGCGGGAAAGGAGGACAAUUGAGUUUCUUAAAUUUGUCGAGAAGACGACUCCUAUAGAUGUAUAUACUUCGGGGAAAGGUUCAUCUGCUGCUAGGCAGGCUUACGGCUUCAGGCAUUCGUGAUAAUAGCACUCGUGAGUACUAUUUGGAAGGAGGAGCCAUGGUGUUGGCUGAUGGUGGUGUUGUCUGCAUAGAUCAGUUUGACAAAAUGAGACCAGAAGGCAAG